Molecule: ribosomal RNA, 324 nt
Filed under: Triticum aestivum (bread wheat)
Lineage: Eukaryota; Viridiplantae; Streptophyta; Magnoliopsida; Poales; Poaceae
Description: partial small subunit ribosomal RNA
Source: RNAcentral
AUGAGUUACUUAACAAGAGAAGGCAGGAGUUUCCUACCUUUCUUCUGCAAAUCCGGAAUGCCUUUAUGGCAUGAUCAUGUGAAAAAGUACCUUGAUGCAGUAAUGGAUUUGAUUAUCACUGGUUACUCUGUUUUCACGAAUUACUAUCCAACAGCAUGGAAGAACCAAAAGGUAGUUGAUCAGCAGGAUGGCAAGAGGAAGACAAGAACCAAAUUAAAGUUUGUUGUUGUGCAUGUCUGUAUCUAUCAAGAUUCAGUGCUAUGUAGAAAUGUCCCUGAGAUUUCUUUCACUCAACUGAGACCAAACAAUCAGGAACACAAGUAG